GAGUGUGGUCUGGCGGUGACAUUGGCGUCCCACUGAUUAUGAGAGCUGGUUCAACUGAUUUGGCUGACUGGGCUAGAAUCCGUCUACUUCCCUC
This is an unclassified non-coding RNA of Tupaia belangeri (northern tree shrew), 94 nucleotides long. Its record names the gene 7SK. It matches the Rfam family "7SK RNA". From Rfam's summary of the family: 7SK was discovered as an abundant small nuclear RNA in the mid-70s but a possible function has only recently been suggested. Two independent studies have found that 7SK RNA binds the CDK9/cyclin T complex (known as elongation factor P-TEFb). P-TEFb activates transcription by phosphorylating the C-terminal domain of RNA polymerase II. The record is from Ensembl. Lineage: Eukaryota; Metazoa; Chordata; Mammalia; Scandentia; Tupaiidae.